CACGCAAGUAUGAAAUAGACUUGAACAUAAUUUUUCCAUUUAUGACAUAAAUAAUAGAGAAUUCUUACAUAAUUCGGCAGUAAAAAGAAAAAAUAUCCAUCUUUGUUUUUAUUUGAUAAUACAAUUUCAAAGAAAUGCAGGUUGUUGUAUUUCAUAAACACAAAUAUUGUUUUAGAUAAAACUGCAACUUUAGCUGUUAACAAAUUGAGAACUUAUUUAUCAAGCACAGAUUGUAUUUUUUUUUUCAGGCAAUAAUGGUGAUUUAGUGACCCUGUACUCCAACUUUCUUACCCUUUCUAUUCAUUUCAUAAUUUAAUGGAGUAACGGUAAAAGUCACAGCUAUUCCUGAAAAUGGGCAGAAACUAGCUGGUGUUUUUUUUUUAAUCUGACAAUCCAUACCCAGACGAAACCUCAAAGCUCCAAGGCUCAGAGCCAUUUGGUGAACAAGAUGAUCUUUAGUGUAUAUACCAGAGGUAGUCAACCUUUUAAUACCUACCACCCACUUUUGUAUCUUUGUUGAUGGUAAAAUACCUUGCCGCUAAUUAUAUUGUGUAAUUUAAAAAAAAAUGUUUUUAGAAACUAGGGUUUUGUUUUCUUUUUCAAAUAUGUACUUAAAUUUAUAUAUUUUCCCCCCUUUUUUUCUAUUCUACUUUUCUUUUUUUCUAUGUGUGUCUGUGAGGUUCGGUGUGAGAGUGAGAGUGAGAGUGAGAGUGAGAGUGAGAGUGAGAGUGAGAGUGAGAGUGAGAGUGAGAGUGAGAGUGAGAGUGAGAGUGAGAGUGGGUACUGUGCGUGUGUGUAGAAGAAAAUCUCCCCUGCCGGCCUUGGUCCACGGUGCAGAACCCACAACCACCCACCUGAAAUCCCAAACCGCCCACUAGUGGGCAGUAGGGACCAGGUUGACUACCCCUGGUAUAUAUGGUAUCAUAUUAUGGUAGUUCUUGACAAUAGGCUCAGUAAAAGGGUUUUGUAUCGGGUGGGUGUUCUAUACUAAAUAGGUGGUAGGCCAAAGAUGUGUCAUUUCAGUGAGAGAGACCUCUUGUGCCCUGAUAGGUGUACACAAUAGUGUCUCGUAUUAUUACAUAGGAUAUAAAAAAAAUAAAAAUCUGCCGAGAUUAUAUGCAAGUAUAAGAACAGAAAAUUUCGAUAUCUUGCUCGAUUACAUCGACAAAUUACACUCGCUGAGUACUAUUACCUAAUGACUGAUAAAUAAUGUGCAGUGUAUUUCUUACAAAAUACUUGUAUAACCUUAUGUACAAAGUAUAAAAUGUGUACUUUAUAUUUUUUUCCUACCACUUAUAAUUUAUGCCAUCAGCAGUAUUUUUUCUGAGGUAUCAUUUAUAAAGUAAACAUACCAUUCAUAAAUAAAUAAAAACAGCCCAAGGCAAUGUCUAUCUAAAUAAAGUUGAAAAUAAAGCUUGUUCUACAUCAUGUCAGCAUCACAGGUAGCAACAGUGUUUAAAGUUUACAAAAAACUUUUCUUUCCUGCAUUAAAAAUAAAGAAACCUAUCGAAAUGUAACUGUGACUAAGAGUUAGGUUUGACUUGCUAACUAGCAAGGGCCUGGUGUCCUACGAACUGUAAACACUGCAGUUCUGUUUCUGAUUUAGUUUAGGAUUGCCACAGUCUAUUUUGAGAAGGACUGAAUGAUUAGCAAUAAUGAUAACUUUAAAAUACUGUAUGCAAUGUAUUGGCUUUUUAUUUAUAAGUGCCAGUCUGUCAUUAUGCAUCUGUGCCUUAAAGGACCACUAUAGUGCCAGGAAAACACUUGUUUUCCUGGCACUAUAGUGCCCUGAGGGUGCCCCCACCCUCAGGGUCCCCCUCCCGCCAGGCUCUAGGGGGAGGAAGGGGUUAAACUUACCUCUUUCUCCAGCGCCGGGCGGGGGACUCUCCUCCUCCUCUCCGGCUGAAUGCGCAUGCGCAGCAAGAGCCGCACACGCAUUCAGCCACUCAUAGGAAAGCAUUCACAAUGCUUUCCUAUGGACGUUGGCGUCUUCUCACUGUGAUUUUUACAGAGAGAAGCGCGGAAACGCCUCUAGCAGCGGUCAACGAGACAGCCACUAGAGGCUGGAUUAACCCGAAUAUAAACAUAGUAGUGUCUCUGAAACUGCUAAGUUUAUAGAAGAAAGGGUUACACCUAGCUGGACCAGGCACCCAGACCACUUCAUUAAGCUGAAGUGGUCUGGGUGCCUAUAGUGGUCCUUUAACCCCUUAAGGACCAAACUUCUGGAAUAAAAGGGAAUCAUGACAUGCCACACAUGUCAUGUGUCCUUAAGGGGUUAAAGCAACACUACACUUUAAAGGGACACUAUAGUCACCAAAACAACUUUAGCUUAAUGAAGCAGUUUUGGUAUAUAGAUUAUGUCCAUACAGUCUUACUGCUCAAUUCUCUGCCAUUUAGGAGUUAAAUCCCUUUGUUUAUGAACCCUAGUCACACCUCCCUGCAUGUGACUUGCACAGCCUUCCUAAACAUUUCCUGUAAAGAGUCAUCUAAAGUUUAUCCUUCCUUUAUUGCAAGUUCUGUUCAAUUUAGAUUUUAUCCCCUGGUAUGUUAAUAGCUUGCUACACCCUGCAAGAGCCUCCUGUAUGUGAUUAAAGUACAAUUUACAGAGAAAAAGAUACAAUUGUUUAAGGUAAAUUACAUCCGAUUGAAAGUGAAACCAGUUUUUUGUGUUUUGUUUUUUUCAUGCAGGCUGUGUCAAUCAGAGUCAGGGGAGGUGUGACAUGGGCUACAGAAACAAAAUGAUUUAACUCCUAAAUGGCAGUGAAAUCUGAGAAGCAUGAUCUAUACACUAAAACUGCUUCAUUAAGCUAAAGUUGCUUAGGUGACUAUAGUGUUCCUUUAACCCCUUAAGGACCAAACUUCUGGCAUAAAAGGGAAUCAUGACAUGUCACACAUGUCAUGUGUCCAGCCACUUCAGCUUAACAAUAUGGUUUUGGGCCAAAGACUAUGUAUCUUUGCCAUGGCUGUUUUACAUUGCCACAAAAAGGAAAACCACCAUCUUUAGUGGCAGCUGGGCUGGCUACUGCCACUAGCGGCAUUUCCUCAUUUAAGAGUUCAAUGUUGCUGAACAUUGUGGCUGUUAUUCAUAGAGAAGCAUAACAUUUUGUUCUUCUCUGAGAAGCAUCUAAUUGGCUAAGCACAGUGAUGACUGCACAUGCCUUGUAUCCCCCCCAAUGUUUCUCUGAGAAGCACUGGAUUGGAUGAUUUCAGCAGUGGCUAACCAGCUACUGGGGGGAGACUGGCUAAUGCUGAAUUACAAGUGAGUAAAAAUGUUAAAAACAAUUGUUAGAUUUUACAAGCUUCAAAUCUUAAAGUAAGGAAAAUCAACAUUCAAAAUAUUUAUUUUUAAUGUCAGUGUUCCUUUAACUAUAUUACUUUGAUUUGGAAUCUCCUCAUUUACUGACCAUAGAACUCUGUGCUACAGUCUGGCCAGACCAUUUGAGAAAGACCUAUAAAUGUCACAGGUCCACAAGGGAUUACACCUUGCAGCAAUUUUUAACUUAACAUUUCUCACUCCUGUUCACACCAGGAGAGAUGAAAAGGAUCUCACAAAAUUGUAUAUACUCCAGUAUAGAAGUGUUUCCAGCUGAGGAUGCAGAAGGAAAACAUUUUUUUUUCUCCUUCUCAAAAUGUGCGAACACUUUUUGGAUUGCCUCCUGGCACCAUAACCACUACAAAUGGUAAGGUGAUUGGAGUUGUCACAAAAAUAAUAAUAAUGUGUAGUUCAGCAGUGUUAACACGUAUAUUCCUUUGCAAAAUCUGAAUUUUGAAAAUAAAGCCUACAUACAUAUUUACAGUAUUGUGCUUAUUACUUAGUGACAAAGUCAGGCAAUAGCAUUCUAUUAAAAAUUCCAAGGUGACUUCAGAUGUAGAACCAACUACAAAAUGCCAUGACUAUUUUUUUUUUUUUUACCCUUUUAUAAAAAAUAAUUUGCAUGCCGUUUAUGUGAUAAGGAGAUUUAGUUUAAUCACUUGCUAGGACGGGAUUAAUUAGAGGGAUCAUUAAAAAUGCUGUAUUAUUAAAUGGCACUGCAUUCGUUUUGCUGGCACUGGUUUUAGCAGGCAUUUUGCCUCUUAAAGUGGAUUUUUUUUUUUAUUCUGUGCAUUUUGCUUGAAUUUUAUAAAAAUAUUAAAAAAUGUUGUGCCGAACAUGAAAGAGAGAGGAUCUUGCUAAUUCUUAUGAUUCCAGCGUCCCUUGGUAAGGAGUCAUCAUUCUAUUCUCUGAAAGGUCUUGAAUGACAAUUGAUGUCAGCAGGAUUGCGCAUGUAUAGAAAGUUACAGCAAUCUUCCUGUGAAAACACUUAUUUACAGAAGCGUCAACUACACUUUGUGCGAAAAUAUAGCUCUGAUGUCUGCCAUCAAUGCCUGACGUCAGAUGUAAAUGUGAGUGCUUAUAAAACGAUAUGCUUUUUGAACCUGUCAAAUAUUUAUACUAAAUACAAAAGCAGUCUGUAUGCUCUUUAGUACAUUAUUUAAAAAAACAAACAAUGAAAGAACUCCAGAGUCAAAAUUUCCAAAACUAUAUUAACACUAGUAAUAUGUAGCUUUUACAACAAAGAUAUCUCUAUUAUCAAUUCUCAAAUCACCAGUCUGUAGACAAAAUGGUACCCAACUCAUAAAGCCGUAGUAGCUGGGGUCUAUGGUGCAAUGGAUGGGCAUAUUAGCCAGAGUCUAAACUUUUUAAAUAUACCGUAUAUAUACAUAGCAUAAUAUGUCAAUGUAAACUAGAAACACUUAAACGAACACUCUGGGCACCAUAACUCAAUGAAGUGGUUAUGGUUCAAGGAGAUUCGGUCUUACCUUAAGGGUUAAACCGAAUACAAACGGUUCAAUUCCAAAUUUGUGAAGACGGCAUCCUUUAGCGGAGCCUAAGGUUUCAAUGAUGAAACCUUUGACAUAGAAAAUAAGGUCAUACGUUUCCAAACAAAUCCAUUACACCCGUAACUCCAACAAAGAUUCAGUAUUUUAUCAUUAGAAUGUAGAUAUGGGUAUUUUUCAGUUCUAUCAGUGGCUGAGCUGAUGCAGACAAGACAGAAAUCCCAUCUAUUUGCGACAGAACCUCCUUUUAUUUGGGGACAGAGCUGUAAAUCAUUUCCCCACCAGAAUGAUUAAUUCACAAAGAGCCCAGUGGCAAAAUCUUAAAGCAAUGAGUGAAACUCGAUGACCAAACACCGCUGUCUGGGAUUUUGUCCCAAGAUGACCGCCACCACGUGUUUGUACAUACGAACGACAACCACCCAGUCGACCACUUAGAAUGUUGAGGUGCUUGUGGUUACAGUGGUGUUAGCAGAGGUUAAUGUGGUCAACAAGCGGCACACUCCGCACAUGGGUGUUCUGUCGUUCGGUAGAUUAUUCGGUAUUCGGACGGGGCAAUGUUAACAUAUUUAGUGGAUGUAUUUCACCGAACAAACAGGCGAGGGGAACAAAGAGCUGUAAAAGCCAGGGACAGGGAGUUCUGUCACACCAUAGUCUUGUCCCCAUUCUGGGUGUGGCUAAGACAGAAAUUACACUUCAUUGCCAUUGCAGAUGAAUCUGUAUGCCUAGAGUUAGUGGUAUGUAUUGGUAUGCAUGCAAGGAAGUGUGUAAUUUCUGGCUCAGUCACACCUGAAUUGGAGACUGGGCUAAAGGAACUCAGGGACCCUCACUCCGUGUUAAACUGCUUUUAACACUAGUGGUUUAACAGUGAAUAGAGGGACAGCGCCAAGGGACUUCAGGCACUAUAAUUAAUACAAUGAUACCAUGGUUCUACUGCCUUUAUUGUCCUUUUAAGACACGCCAUUGUUCUAGAUUCAAUUCAUAUCCUCACUGGAACAAAGCGGAGAAAUGUCCAAAUUCAGGAUUGCUCAUGUGUCUAGAAGCCUAGUUUUGUUCUGGCAUCCAACAUACUGAUUUAAAUAUUAACACUUAUUCAGUAGCUCCUAGAUGUUUACCAUUAACAGGAGCACCUAACGGAAACUAUUUGUACUUUUCUUAAAGUAGCUUCAGCCCAAUAUCUGCUAGGCAAUGUAAAAUGAAUAAUCCACAUCACAAGUUAUUUUGGUCAUAUCCUGCCCUUAAUCAUGCAUUUUUCAUAUGCAACUGGAUUAAUAAAUAAGCCACCUUUGUUUUUGCUCAUCCAUGCUGCUUUUCUUUUUUCAACACUACUUUAAAACACAUUAUCCCUUAAAUAAUUAAUACAGAGUUUGCUCUAAAGCCAUUUUAGGACCAGAACAAAUGUAUUUUCUGGUCUAUUAAAUGUUGUCACUAUAAUUAUUGCAAAACAAAUUAUACUACAUCUUUAACCCGAUAUCCGGCUCUAUGAUAGUGUAAUAUAUAACAAAGACAAAUUUUGGGCAGCCCAGCUGCUUUGAAUAUGAACUGCCACAAUGCUUAACAAGCUAUUUUUUAAAUUUUUGAAGAAACGUAUACACAGUUUAUCUGCCAGUACAAAAUAUUUUAUCACAGAUACGUAGCCUGUUGCAGCCCAGCUGCUAUGGACUUCAAUUCUCACACUGGCCAAUGCAUAUAACCAUUAAUAAUUUUCUCACCUUUCUAUUGCGAUUUCUAAUAACGUUACAAAUCACUAUAAAAAAAAAAAAAGUUGAUUUACAGAGAUUAACCAGCAAUUCCCUAUAUUUAGAAAGAAAAAUAAAUAAAUCUUUAAUGAGAAUAAAACAGUUUUCUUUUAUAUUUUUAACUUUACAGAUUAUAUACAAAAUAAAGAUUUUCCGAACCCGUCCUUUUUUGAGGAAUUAAACAGAUUGAAGGACGCAUAAAUCAGACUAUAAUCUGGCAUAUUGCUUGUUACUAUGCAUAGGAACUAUUGGAAUAUCAUAGUUGAUUAUGCACGUUAUAUGGCAUAAUCGAUAGAGCUUUGGUCAUGCACAUAAGCCUCAAAUAUGGGACAUUACACAUAAGUCUACGACCGCAUUCUGCAAUGAAGGAGCUAUUUACAUGCAGGUUAUUCACACUAAAAUUGAGAUUUGAAUAGAUCUACUUAAUAACAAAAUGAAACUAAUUAUUUUAGUUCUUGUCUGAAGUAUCUAUUGGGCCAGUUUUAUAUCCGAAUUAUAUUAUAUAUUAAUGUUUGUAAUCUGUUUGCAGAAGAAUGUGGUAAUCGUGAAAGGUUGUAUCUAUCUCACGACUUUUAGAUUUUGACAGAAUGUACAGAAAUAUAAUGUUUACAUUAUGAACAUGAAGCUGAUUAUACCUUCCAGGGAGGUACAAUGAGAUCUGCUUCUCUUUAGCAGUGUUGACUAAAGCCUUGGAUCACCUUGUUGGGCUAAGGGUGAAAAUAACUUUACACCUAUCAACAGGACUCUGAAUUCAAAUACUCCAUGAUUUGCACAUCAGUUUUCCUGGCACUGCAGGAUCCUGCAGUGCCCCAUCCCAUGUUGCUGAAGGGGUUAAAUCCCCUUCAGUGACUUACCAGAAUCCAGUGCCGAUGUCCCUCGGCGCUGGGUCAGGCUCCUCCCCUGCCGUCAGCCAGCGGGGAAGACCUAAUGCGCAUGCAAUGCAAUCCCAAUGCUUUAGAAUGGGGAUUCCGGCGACGCUGGAGGUUCUCAUGCAUAUCAUGAGGACGUCCAGCGUAGUUUAAAACACUUUUCAUGUUCAAAGAACACAGAAGUCCCUCUAGUGGCUGAUUGAUAGACAGCCACUAGAGGAGGAGUUAACCCUGCAAAGUAAUUAUUGCAGUUUAUAAAAACUGCAAUAAUUACACUUGCAGGGUUGAGGGUGGUGUGAGUUGGCACCCAGAAGUAGUCUGGGUGCCUGGAGUGUCCCUUUAAGAAGGAUGUAUAAUGGAGCUUUGGAUUAACUGAUUUGCACAUCACCUCGGGUACUUAUAGUAAAGGGACAUACAUUACUUGAUGAUUAUUUUUUUUAAACAAAUGUAAAAACCAAAAUAAAGCAAGGAAAACUUUACAAAGUAUGAAAUAAACGUUUCUAAUCUUGGUCAUAUUGCAUCGUUGGGCAUGCCUCUCAGCUAGAAGAGUUUCCCCUUAUCCAGGCAUGUCAGUUACAUACCACUCCACCAAUGACAGAAACAGGGAAUUAUUGUGCAGCAGCAAAUAAGGGAAACCCAACACCGGAGACUGAUCUUCUCCCCCUGUCAGGAAGUUACAAGGUGAAAAGAUCUUCCAAUUGCACACAUGUAAACCUGUCAGGCAUGCCCAAUGCACUUUUUCCAGCAUUCCUAAGGAUAGGACACUGAUUGGUCAGAUCAGUACCCCCCCCAGCACCCCUGUAGUUGGUGUGGAAAGCAUAAGGAAGAAGAAGCGGGUAAAUAUGAAAGAGGGGAAAAGACCGCCUGCACAGUUAAGGCUUUUGAAUGAGAUUGUUAAAGUAAUGAAUGUUCCUUUAAAUAGGCAUUGGCAAGCAUAUGUGCUUAAUCUUAAUCUUAGUGAUGUGCUUAAUCUUAAGCCUACAAAAGUGCAAAAUAAAAGCUUUUUGAAUACUUAUGGAAUUAAACUAAUUGAUCACAAGAUGCCCUACACCAGACCGCACCUCCCCUUUUUCCCACAAGACCCCUUUCAUUUGGGAUAUAAAGAAGCGGCAAAACAUGACCAAGUCUCCGUAAAGAGCAGAACUUUCAGAUGUUCCAUAGAUUAUUGGAGACCUCUGUUUUAGUUGCUUCUUUCCCAAUGAAGGUGGUAGCAACUUGCAAUGACCUCUACAAUCAUAAACACAAUACAACUGUGAUCGUUAUACAAUUAAUAUUCAUAAUUUAAUAUUACUUGGUGUCAGUGCAUUCUGCUCAUGCACUUGUACUGAAAAGUGCCAGUAAUUAAAGGACCACUAUAGUGCCAGGAAAACAAACUGAUUUUCACAGUGCGAAGCGCGGAAGCGCCUCUGGCGGCUGUCGGUGAGACAGCCACUAGAGGCUGGAUUAACACUAAUGUAAACAUGUUUACAGCUGCAGGUUUUAAAACUAGAGGGACCUGGCACCCAGACAACUUCAUUGAGCUGAAGUGGUCUGGGUGCUUAUAGUGGUCCUUUAGCUAACUAAACACAUGAACAGUAUUUACGGAAUACUUUUUAGGCAUUUGAGCCUCCAUUCGGUCUUUUAAAGAUAUGUUCCAACAUAUAACUUAUUGUGGCUUGUGUUCCCUAGAAUGUAAGUUUAGCUAGAACUUUUUUUGGGGGGAGGGGGGGAAGAGAGAGAGAGAGAGAGAGAGAGAGAGCGCGCGAGUUCUUGCCCUUUCUAAGAAGUGCCCAUGAUGUCAUGAGUACUCUUAUCAAUUUGUUAAAAAGUUUAAUUUUUCCACUUGUCCCAUCAUUAAUUCUACUUAAUGUUAAAUUAACAUUUCAGGCACUACAUGUUUUUAAAAGAAAUCAUGGUGAGGAUUUUGAUGUGAUCCGUAGCAAGUAACAUACAGUUAAAAAUUUCCCAUAAUCCCUGUGUAACAAUUUCUCGUUGUGCAUAAGAGAUGGUUGAUAAAGCUGCAGUUACUCUCAG
This is a non-coding RNA of Pelobates cultripes (western spadefoot toad), 9436 nucleotides long. NCBI's taxonomy places the organism in Eukaryota, Metazoa, Chordata, Amphibia, Anura, Pelobatidae. The record is from the annotation of a GenBank genome assembly.